This is a long non-coding RNA of Motacilla alba alba, 3062 nucleotides long. RefSeq lists it as uncharacterized. The record is from RefSeq and is a predicted model, not a curated record. NCBI's taxonomy places the organism in Eukaryota, Metazoa, Chordata, Aves, Passeriformes, Motacillidae. The transcript is spliced from 4 exons.
GAGAAAAACAGGUUAUUGCUUCAAAAAAUGUUAUUCUUAAUCCUUUUCCACUAGUAUAGUUGAGCUUUUUAGCUAACAAUUUAGGCAAAUAAUACAGAUUUUUUUUUUGGUGAUCUGAUUUGACAGAAUUUCUUUAGUACAGUAAACUAUGAACAGCUUGGUUUCUGUGGCAAAUGAGACAAAAUAAGUUUAACAAUUGUUAAGGAAAUGGUUUCUAGCUACUCUAACUAUUUUCUUGUGCUAGAGACCACAGGAACUAAAAAGAAAGAGGAUCAAUAUUCUGUCAAUAUCAAUCAGGGAUAUUUUCUUUGCAGACAGAAAAAUCAUAAAACAUUCAUGUCAAAAGGAGAAAUAAAAAUAAUUCUUAUUCUAAGGGCUUCAACUGUUACUAUCUUUCAUAUUAUAAAUACAGUUCACAAUAAACUUGCACCUUUAGGGUGAACCUGCAGGACAGAGGAAAACUAAAAGACAAUUUGAAGAAUAAUGAACUUGGAAAUUGCACACAAAUUCAGGGAAACACCAAGCUGGAUUAGUCUAGUUCUUACUAGGAAACACCAGUUUCGUGCUGAAAAAUGCAGUGUCUGCUGGAGAGAGAUACACCAAGCACAUAAUUAACAAGCACUGCAUUUUCCAUCUGUCAGAAACUCUUUUGCCAAGGUGUCCAAACUGAGGAACUAAAAUUUGUGCCUACUGCAGGUGCUGUAGGAACUGCAGUGCUCCCUCUGGCACUGCUCUGUCCUGUGCUGUUCUGGGACAGCCCACCGCCCUUUUGCAGCACAGGAUAUUCUCUGCUAUUGUACUCAAGUGGGCAAAGACAAAAUUGGGAAUAAAUGUGAAUAAAACUGCUCCCAAGUAGGCCAGAGUAAAACUAAUUUACCUGUUAUAAUUUGCAUUAAAUUCAUUCCAGGGACUAAUGAAGACAUGCAAUCAAAUGAUUUCUCCUAGGAUUGAUUUAAGGAAGCAAUUUGAAAGUGAGGCUUAGAGGGGCGAAAAAAGAAGUUUUACCUAAUUCAAGACACUAAAAUAUUCUGUAUUAUAGAGAUUUUGGUCGUACUUUGUUGUUUGUAGUCUAGUAUGUGCAAACCCCCCACCAAGGACUGCCUUUUCCCUCUUUUGUUGUGUUCAACUGUUAACAAUAAUUGUCCAUGAUUGUGCAGCACAAUUGAUUUGGUCACCAAGCAGGUACAUCCUUCUGUGUAAGCUGGAGUGUAAAUAAUAGAAAUAAGAGGAUGAUUACAGUCAUCAUUGAUGUCUCCACUGCAUUUAAUCGACCUCAGGGAUUUUUCCAUUGCAGGAGAUAAAGUAACUAUAUGUGAAUAGUGGGUUAUUUGAUCAGUGAAGUGGUUUUUAAAUAGCCUAUACUUGAUUACUCCCUCAGCCUUGGAUUGGUGCCUCCACAGGUGCAUGAACUGCAUUUCUCUGAUUUCCUCUUCAUGCUUGGAAACCUGGUCAAAGCCUUGAAUGUGGGGAUAUGACAGUACAAAUGUUGUGAUUAUCAUCUGCAAUAAUGCAGCUUUGCUGUAGAGGAUAGAUUUAUUAAUGCUGAAUUAGGACCCAUUGCCUCACUGAAACAGUGCCAUCCUCCCUUCUGGAGAGGUCCCCACAAGGAGAAUGCCACGUGCUGCGUGGCACAAAUUCGUAGUGCAAUGAAACAAAAUUUCUGGAGCUUUCAGGCGCAGUAUUGAGCUGUAAGCAGUUUCUCUCAGGGCAAUGUGUGCAGGGAAGUUUGUUUUUAAGGGAGAAAGUUGCCUCAAGGGAACCAUUAGUAACAAACCCAUAAACUAGGGGUGAGAAGAAGAGAAGGCCUGUUUGAGGGCUAAUUCUGUCUCUGGUAGGCUCUGCUCUUAGACCCCUCUCAUGUUACCUUAGAACAAGAUGAAAAGUGACUGUGCUAAAGCCUAUGAAGGGCAUUUGUGACACGAGGAAUUCCCUGGUGCCUUACAGGCACUCAGCACACACUGUGAGAGCUGGAGGUAGCUGUAAAUGACAGGAAUCAGUCAUAUUAAGCUCAUGUUCCUCUUUCUCUGUUCUGAGAAAAUGAGCAGCUGCACCAGGAUUGCAUUCUUAUUUCUCAAAAGCGUCCAAGCACCAGGCACAGUGUUUGUGCUUCUUGCCACAAGUGGAGUUCUGAAUCAGGAGCCUCAUGGAUGUUUUCAGAUCUUAAUUGACUCCACAGCAGGCAUCCAGGCUUAGAGCAGAAAUCCACCACUGCAAAGAAACCAAAUGCUUUAGGGGAUCCUACACUGUGUACAGGGUUAACAGGGAAGCAGGAGGCCUUAUUUAUGUGGAGUACAGGAAUUGCCAAAGCUGAAGAAAUACUGUUUUCUUUCAAUGAUUAAUAUGCUCAGUAGAAGUGUAGCAUUUGCUGCCAGCUUUCAUUAACAGAUCAAUGGGAAACAAACCCGUGUGGUAGGGAGUGUGUCUGGGAACAGCUUAAACAGGACUGAGCUGCUUUAGAUUUCAGCUGUUUUCUUUAGCACAACAGUGUAGAGCACUUUCUUGUUUAUAGGAUAAACACAGGGGAUUGAAGUGAUCUGUGUAGCACACAGGAGAGGUUGCCAACCCAUAACAUUCUGCAGAAUGCAAAAAUUCCAUAGCUGCUCCCUUGGGAGUCAUAGGCUACAAUCUUCUUCCAUGUUGGUUCCAGUGUAAAUAGCAGUUAAAUCAUCAGGACAGACAAACUGCCAGGAAAACUUUGAAUAAAAUAUUAGUUCAUUUUCCUUCUUUCAUAACACAGAUUCAGCAGACUCAGAGCUCAGCCAGCUAUUGGUUCAGAAGUGGCAUUUCAGACCAAAUUAAUGUACGUGAUUUAAGCUUGAAGAGCAUUUUCCAACUAUUUGUCUUGCGCAUUACUGAAACGUAAAUGGUUGAAACAGCUCUCCAGUGACUGUUACACACUUCAGCUUGCCCAAAGGUGUCCUGACGUGUAAGGAGAGACGAGCAGGAGGAAUGGGGGAAAAACAAGCCCGGGGAUCUGAAGCCUCAGCCAUGACUGAUGAACUCAACAUAAAGCCACUGACUGAAGGGAAAAGAGACUCAGACAAAGAAUCUAUGUUAAAUGU